AGCCCCGUAGUCUAGCGGUCAAGGAUAGCAGACUUUGGAUCUGUUGACGGCAGUUCAAAUCUGCCCGGGGCUA
Molecule: transfer RNA, 73 nt
Filed under: Candidatus Woesearchaeota archaeon
Lineage: Archaea; Nanobdellati; Candidatus Woesearchaeota
Description: tRNA-Gln
Rfam family: tRNA
About the family: Transfer RNA (tRNA) molecules are approximately 80 nucleotides in length. Their secondary structure includes four short double-helical elements and three loops (D, anti-codon, and T loops).
Source: RNAcentral